AGGCUUAACACAUGCAAGUCGAGGGGCAGCAUGGUCUUUGCUUGCUAAGGCCGAUGGCGACCGGCGCACGGGUGAGUAACACGUAUCCAACCUGCCGUCUACUCUUGGACAGCCUUCUGAAAGGAAGAUUAAUACAAGAUGGCAUCAUGAGUCCGCAUGUUCACAUGAUUAAAGGUAUUCCGGUAGACGAUGGGGAUGCGUUCCAUUAGAUAGUAGGCGGGGUAACGGCCCACCUAGUCUUCGAUGGAUAGGGGUUCUGAGAGGAAGGUCCCCCACAUUGGAACUGAGACACGGUCCAAACUCCUACGGGAGGCAGCAGUGAGGAAUAUUGGUCAAUGGGCGAGAGCCUGAACCAGCCAAGUAGCGUGAAGGAUGACUGCCCUAUGGGUUGUAAACUUCUUUUAUAAAGGAAUAAAGUCGGGUAUGGAUACCCGUUUGCAUGUACUUUAUGAAUAAGGAUCGGCUAACUCCGUGCCAGCAGCCGCGGUAAUACGGAGGAUCCGAGCGUUAUCCGGAUUUAUUGGGUUUAAAGGGAGCGUAGAUGGAUGUUUAAGUCAGUUGUGAAAGUUUGCGGCUCAACCGUAAAAUUGCAGUUGAUACUGGAUAUCUUGAGUGCAGUUGAGGCAGGCGGAAUUCGUGGUGUAGCGGUGAAAUGCUUAGAUAUCACGAAGAACUCCGAUUGCGAAGGCAGCCUGCUAAGCUGCAACUGACAUUGAGGCUCGAAAGUGUGGGUAUCAAACAGGAUUAGAUACCCUGGUAGUCCACACGGUAAACGAUGAAUACUCGCUGUUUGCGAUAUACAGCAAGCGGCCAAGCGAAAGCGUUAAGUAUUCCACCUGGGGAGUACGCCGGCAACGGUGAAACUCAAAGGAAUUGACGGGGGCCCACACAAGCGGAGGAACAUGUGGUUUAAUUCGAUGAUACGCGAGGAACCUUACCCGGGCUUAAAUUGCAGAUGAAUUACGGUGAAAGCCGUAAGCCGCAAGGCAUCUGUGAAGGUGCUGCAUGGUUGUCGUCAGCUCGUGCCGUGAGGUGUCGGCUUAAGUGCCAUAACGAGCGCAACCCUUGUUGUCAGUUACUAACAGGUUCCGCUGAGGACUCUGACAAGACUGCCAUCGUAAGAUGUGAGGAAGGUGGGGAUGACGUCAAAUCAGCACGGCCCUUACGUCCGGGGCUACACACGUGUUACAAUGGGGGGUACAGAGGGCCGCUACCACGCGAGUGGAUGCCAAUCCCCAAAACCUCUCUCAGUUCGGACUGGAGUCUGCAACCCGACUCCACGAAGCUGGAUUCGCUAGUAAUCGCGCAUCAGCCACGGCGCGGUGAAUACGUUCCCGGGCCUUGUACACACCGCCCGUCAAGCCAUGGGAGCCGGGGGUACCUGAAGUGCGUAACCGCGAGGAGCGCCCUAGGGUAAAACUGGU
Molecule: ribosomal RNA, 1424 nt
Filed under: uncultured organism
Description: SSU rRNA
Rfam family: Bacterial small subunit ribosomal RNA
Source: RNAcentral